Molecule: ribosomal RNA, 750 nt
Filed under: Streptomonospora sp. YIM 90640
Lineage: Bacteria; Bacillati; Actinomycetota; Actinomycetes; Streptosporangiales; Nocardiopsidaceae
Description: bacterial SSU rRNA
Rfam family: Bacterial small subunit ribosomal RNA
Source: RNAcentral
GCUGGCGGCGUGCUUAACACAUGCAAGUCGAGCGGUAAGGCCCUUCGGGGUACACGAGCGGCGAACGGGUGAGUAACACGUGAGCAACCUGCCCCUGACUCCGGGAUAAGCCGGGGAAACCCGGUCUAAUACCGGAUAGGGACGCCUCGUCGCAUGGCGGGGUGUGGAAAGGUUUUUUCCGGUCAGGGAGGGGCUCGCGGCCUAUCAGCUUGUUGGUGGGGUGAAGGCCUACCAAGGCGAUUACGGGUAGCCGGCCUGAGAGGGCGACCGGCCACACUGGGACUGAGACACGGCCCAGACUCCUACGGGAGGCAGCAGUGGGGAAUAUUGCGCAAUGGGCGGAAGCCUGACGCAGCGACGCCGCGUGGGGGAUGACGGCCUUCGGGUUGUAAACCUCUUUUACCACCGACGCAGGCCCGCGCUUCUGUGCGGGUUGACGGUAGGUGGGGAAUAAGGACCGGCCAACUACGUGCCAGCAGCCGCGGUAAUACGUAGGGUCCGAGCGUUGUCCGGAAUUAUUGGGCGUAAAGAGCUCGUAGGUGGUGUGUCGCGUCUGCUGUGUAAGUCCGGGGCUUAACUCCGGUUUGGCAGUGGAUACGGGCAUGCUAGAGGUAGGCAGGGGAGACUGGAAUUCCUGGUGUAGCGGUGAAAUGCGCAGAUAUCAGGAGGAACACCGGUGGCGAAGGCGGGUCUCUGGGCCUUACCUGACGCUGAGGAGCGAAAGCGUGGGGAGCGAACAGGAUUAGAUAC